AGAGUUUGAUCCUGGCUCAGAAUGAACGUUGGCGGCGUGGAUUAGGCAUGCAAGUCGAGCGAGACCCCGCAAGGGGGGAAAGCGGCGAAAGGGAGAGNNNCGCGUGGUUAUCUGCCCUCGGAUCUGGGAUAGCUGUGGGAAACCGCAGGUAAUACCGGAUAACGUCUACGGACCAAAAGGUGUGAUUCCGUCCGAGGAUGAGGCCGCGUCCUAUUAGCUAGUUGGUAAGGUAAUGGCUUACNGGCAAUGAUGGGUACUGGGNNNGAGACACGACCCAGCUCACUGGGACUGAGACCUGCCCAGCACCUACGGGGUGGCUGCAGUCGAGAAUCUUCGGCAAUGGGCGCAAGCCUGACCGAGCGACGCCGCGUGCGGGAUGAAAGGCCUUCGGGGUGUAAACCGCUGUCGGAGGGGAUGAAAUGCGUGGGGGUACUCCCCCCAUGUUUGACAUAUCCUCAAAGGAAGUACGGGCUAAGUUCGUGCCAGCAGCCGCGGUAAGACGACCGUACAAACGUUAUUCGGAAUUACUGGGCUUAAAGGGUGCGUAGGCGGCGCUGAAAGUUGGGUGUGAAAUCCCUCGGCUCAACCGAGGAACUGCGCCCAAUACUGCAGUGCUUGAGGGAGAUAGAGGUAAGCGGAACUUAGGGUGGAGCGGUGAAAUGCGUUGAUAUCCUAAGGAACACCCGUGGCGAAAGCGGCUUACUGGGUCUCUUCUGACGCUGAGGCACGAAAGCUAGGGUAGCGAACGGGAUUAGAUACCCUAGUAGUCC
This 770-nucleotide ribosomal RNA is filed under the name uncultured bacterium. RNAcentral's name for it is "bacterial SSU rRNA". It matches the Rfam family "Bacterial small subunit ribosomal RNA", at positions 8 to 796 of the family's 1533-position model. The record is from RNAcentral.